UUCUGCCCUACAGGGAAGGAUGAGAAGCUUCGACUAAGGUUCGACUCGAGCGAAGCGAGAGAACGUUGCCGCAGGCAACGGCCCGAAGGGCGAGGCGCUUUAGCGCCGAGUAAUCCUUCCCCCACCACCA
This 130-nucleotide small RNA is filed under the name Klebsiella pneumoniae. Its description in RNAcentral is "RtT sRNA". It matches the Rfam family "RtT RNA". From Rfam's summary of the family: This family represents a bacterial cis-regulatory element known as RtT RNA. The exact function of RtT is unknown although it is thought that it may be involved in changing the cellular response in relation to amino acid starvation. The record is from RNAcentral. Lineage: Bacteria; Pseudomonadati; Pseudomonadota; Gammaproteobacteria; Enterobacterales; Enterobacteriaceae. RNAcentral also lists the same sequence under 1 other name.